GCUCCCCAGCCGCCCCGCCCAGCCCCGCCGCCUCGGGCCGGUGCCGGGGACCCGCUCCCGCCCCGCAUCCCGCCCCCCGUGCCUGGCCCAUCUGCGGUCCCGGUUUGGGAAGAGAGAAGCGACGGCGCGAGGCACUGGACCCCCGGGCCGGUGCUCCAGGCGCGCGACUCCCAUCAUUUUGGCGCCAACUCUGCGCGGGGUCUGCAGGCGGGUCCCGGGGUGGCCCUGGCCGGGUGGGUGGGGUGAUCGCCGAGGAGCCGGGGAGUCGAGGGUGCUGAAGCCUGGACCGGUGGCCCGAGGAAGGAAGGGCGGCGCUGGUCUCACGUAGCGGUCGCUGAUUCUCGGCGACUCAUCCCUCUCCUCCCAGACUGCUCUAAACCGAAUUUCCCAGCUGACAGACCCUUCCGGCACAGCAACGCCAUCCGGGAAGACCUUGGGCAACUUUCCUAUUCCUCGGAAUACAACUUCCUCAUCUAUAAAGCGGGAAUAAUAAUCCCUGCCCUGCUGACUUCUGCCAAUAAACAAGUUGCUGGGAUCCUGCCAUAAUGAAUCACAAUCCUUGAACUCAGAGAACCGGCAUCAGCACGAUUCCAUCCAGAACAGAAGAGGACAGUGAGGAAGGACACCAAAGGGCUUGGGAGUCAGGCAACGUCUUUGGGGUCCCCCUGCCAACUCAGGGAUGUCAGCUGGACAUGACGUCGAGGAAGAGGUCCCUUAUCUUGGUAUGAAUGCGGCGCCAAGUGAAGGAGCACCCUGGCCUGGACCAAGGGAGAAGCCCUUGCACAUCCGGGCCUCUCCUGAACUCUCGAGAGCAAGGAAAGGAGCCUUGUAUCCAUGGGCCUGAACAUGUGAGAUUCAAAUACAGCCCCUCCUAGGACAGUGACAGACAUGAGGUAGAGGCACAGGGAGCUGAGCCCUGUGCGAUCCUGGGGUUCAGGAGAAAGUCAGAUGCAUAGCCCUGAACAGAAACUGCCCUACCUUAAAUUCAGAGUAGAACAGGUUUUGGAGCAGGGCCGUGCUGGGUGCCGUCCCAGCCUCAGUGUUCACCCCUCUCCCUCAGGUUCAGGGUCCUGAUCAGCAAAAUGGGAUAAGGAGACAGCACCUCUCCCACGUGGGUAUGGUUAGAAUUCAACUAGAGGAUGCUGGGUACAGGCCUGGUAGAGGUCCAAGCAUUUAGUAAGUACUUAACAGAGUUCAGCUGUAGUUAACAGCUGUCAAAGGGACAAUGGUGUCACGCCAGGAGUAUCCCUGGGGAGAGAGAAACAGCUUCUUACUAGCCAGUGUAGGAAGAAAUUUCAGGCUAUAGCUGAGUCUUCUAAGACAAGCAGGAGUGGGGUGUAGGUGAGUGGUAGAGCUCUUGCCUAGCAUGUGUGAGGCCCUGGGUUUCAUUCCCAGCAAGGUAAGAAGAAGAAGAAGAAAAAAAAAGAUAGAUAUUAACUGGGAAAAAAGGGAAGGGAAAGUCAUAUAGAGGAAAUGGAAUGAGAAAAGCCAUUUUCCCAGGAACUUCCCAUUAGAGAUAAGGCUAGAGAGGUAGCUGGGGCCCAACAGGUAGGACGUGUGUUUUUGGAGAUUACAGUAAAAGUUUGGAUUUAUGUUUGUUUUGGUCAGAGAUGAAUAGCAACAUGCUAGUUUUCUAGGUGUAGCAAAUAUCCUCUGAGCAAGUUGCCUAACCCAAGAAAAGGACAGGAGAAGUAGCUGAGGCUCAAGAGGGUAAUGCCUUGCCCAAAAUGCCCAGCGAAGAGUGCAGAGGUGGGAUUUCAACCUCGGUCUCCUGCUAGAACUAAAGCCUGCUCCCGCUGCUCCUCCAUACUAUCUCUUGUCUUCUGGAUACACACACACUUCCCUCCCACUGGGACCCCAGCCCCCGCCCUUCCUUGGCUUCCCCUGCACCCUCAAGUCUUUGCUGAUUGGCAGAGAAUUCAGGGGAAGGUUUGCAGAAAUUCCAGCUUGUGUGUCCCUGGAUGUUGAGAUUAAAUCCACACACAAAGCAAGGUUUAAUUAAUAGCCUGGUCUCUAAGGCUCCCCAGCCUGGAUCCCUGCCAUAUUCUAGCAAAGACAAGAAAGCUCUUCUCUGCCAAAGAGGCUGCAGGGCUCUGCCCUCCUCUUUCCAGGGACCCCACUCCUCUGACUUUGGAGAAUCCUGGGAGGGGGAAUUGCAGGUGUGUGGGACCAGCUGGGAGUUCACGGGGCCAGGACAGGAGCUGUCUUCAGAGAAGAUGGGGCAGAAACAUCUUCCUCCAAACAUUUUGAAUGACAAUAGCAGUAAUGAGUGUGGAAAAAUCCAGCAAAACAGAUGACAUGUGUUCUGAUCCUGCCCUACAGAAAAUUUAGGAAUACACCCCCGUGGUUGUUUCCUCCUUGCUCAGCUUAGCCAGCAGGAGGGUGGGAUCUGAGCUGCUUUGGGUUCCUGAAUGUGUUCCUUUAUGUUCUGGCUUCGUGGUGGAGAGACUGCUAAAGAGGGAAAGGAGGGCGAUCGGAUGGGCAGAAAAAGGAAACGGCACGCAGCAGCCUGGGGUGGCAGGUGGCGUGAGGCAGGUGGCCUGUGAGCCUCUACGAACACUGUGGCAACACUGAGGAAACAAGCUGUUUCCCAGGGGCUGUGUGUGCAUGUGACAUGUGACCUUCUUUUCCCCCAAGUUACCUAUUGCAGAACCUUUGGAAAGAAGAAAAAUAAAUCACCAAGUUCCUCUCCCAGAGGCAACCAUUUUACAACUUGA
This is a long non-coding RNA of Cavia porcellus (domestic guinea pig), 2717 nucleotides long. RefSeq lists it as uncharacterized. Lineage: Eukaryota; Metazoa; Chordata; Mammalia; Rodentia; Caviidae. The record is from RefSeq and is a predicted model, not a curated record. The transcript has 3 exons.